This is a long non-coding RNA of Cucurbita maxima (winter squash), 976 nucleotides long. RefSeq lists it as uncharacterized. NCBI's taxonomy places the organism in Eukaryota, Viridiplantae, Streptophyta, Magnoliopsida, Cucurbitales, Cucurbitaceae. The transcript is spliced from 2 exons. The record is from RefSeq and is a predicted model, not a curated record.
UGGAGUGAAGUGAGAAUUCGUGUUGAGAUUUCCUCCUCUUUCGUCAAGAUUAGAAGGAAAACCCGCAAGGGAAGAUCCGUCGCUAAUUUUGGUGAAGAAAUCGGAUGAAACUCGAGAUCUAAGAAUUUUUCCAAGAACUGAGGAGAGAGAAGUCAUCGGCGUGCCACGUGUCAAACAUCUAGAGGGCCGCGUGCGCCAAUCACCUUCAGACAUGCGUCGAACGCCGCCUGGGAAAACGCGGCUCCAACCUCCUUGCGACACGCGUCCACGGCAACACAACCCGACCAGCGACUGCAGAAAACCCUGGGCGCGUGGUACUCGCGCGUGGAACCCGCAAGUUGUUGUACCCCGACGCGUGGCUGGCGCGUGACCUAAUUGAGGAAAAAUUACCAUCUUCCGAUACGCCAAGUGUGUAGAAACGCUGCGUAAGGGCACGCGCCAUCCAGGUAAGUCACCACACGGAAUUUUAGGAAGUAAUACUUGUACGAAUCGCUUGGAAUGCAUGCAUGCUAGUUUGAAUACCUUAGGUUGUAGCUUUCCGUUAAUGAUCGUAGGUAAUAAAUUAUUGGAAGUAAGAUGUAAGUUGUGAUUUGUUAUGAGAGUUACUUGGGUACUGCUAAUAUGCUUUUAGAUUCCCACUUAUUAUGCCUAUAUAUAUGUUCAUGCUGAAUGGAGGAUGGGAAAUUGCGAACUCUGCGCUCCGGGAGUUCAUGGAUGUUAUCACCACGUUGAGCUUGUAUGUUUACUUUGCAUGAAAUGUGUUUGAUGAUUUUGGAUCAUAGUUAUGUACGUACUCAGUUAAUUUUUAUGACUCGCGAAUAUGAAUAAGUCUAGGGACUCUUGGUUAGAGUAACCAGGUACUAAGGUAUUAGAUCUAAUCCUUUCCCUAGUAGAGCAACAGACCACCACGGUGUAUGAAGCCCACUAGGAUACCCUUAGGCUACUGGUGUGUGAUUGGUGUCAUAGCUUCGUGGGG